This 74-nucleotide transfer RNA is filed under the name Rhinobatos hynnicephalus (angel fish). RNAcentral's name for it is "tRNA-Lys". It matches the Rfam family "tRNA". Rfam says of the family: Transfer RNA (tRNA) molecules are approximately 80 nucleotides in length. Their secondary structure includes four short double-helical elements and three loops (D, anti-codon, and T loops). Lineage: Eukaryota; Metazoa; Chordata; Chondrichthyes; Rhinopristiformes; Rhinobatidae. The record is from RNAcentral.
CAUUAAGAAGCUAAACCGGGUCCAGCAUUAGCCUUUUAAGCUAAAAAUUGGUGACUCCCAACCACCCUUAGUGA